RNAcentral lists this long non-coding RNA (4526 nucleotides) under Trifolium pratense (red clover). RNAcentral's name for it is "long non-coding RNA (TPRA_LNC001902)". The record is from RNAcentral. Lineage: Eukaryota; Viridiplantae; Streptophyta; Magnoliopsida; Fabales; Fabaceae.
CAUUAACUAAUAACUAAAACCAUCCAACACCUUACCCAAAAAAAAAGUCCAUCCAACAAAAUAGUACAUCAGUAACUAAAUCCAACAAAAUAGUAACAAACUACAAUUUGCCCAUUCUCUAUUUGAUAGUUUGGUAAGUUACUCAAAUGCAGAUGGUCCAAUUUCUUAAAAGCUAUCUCAGAAGAAGCAUCAUUCUCAUCAUCACUUUCAAUUAUUUCUUCUAUCUUUCACAACCAAUUAUGCACAACUUUGAUAGUUAUUUCAGAAUGCCCAGCGCAUUCGCUUCCACUCGAGAAAAUAUAAGUGAAGGAACUACCUUUCAAAAAUAAACAAACUACUAAUAAACAAUAGUACAAACUAAUAAAAUGAGCUUUGUGAAAGGUGAAGGAAUGCAAAGGAGUAUGAAGAGGAAAAAAGUCCCACGUUGCUUAGUUUCACAAGUUUUAAAGUUUGAGAACACUAUAAAUAAGUGCACACUUUCUCUUGUUACGCGAUUUUUAGUGAAUUCUUCAUGAAUUUGCAUGUACCGAAUUCGAAAAAGCAUUGUGAACCGGUUCGCGGUCUGUUAAGUGAAUUAUGUGACUAUGGUAUCAACAUAAUGAUUUCAUUUACUUCAAUUUUCAUUAACAUAUUUAUUUGUUUGUAGCUAUAACAUAUUUUCAUUAACUGGAUUCAUAUAUGGAUAUUGAUUCACUUGUGAACAUUACGAAUUCAUUUCUAUUAAUUAUGUGAGUUUGUGUUACAUUUAAUUUUCGUGUUUCGCUUUUUCACCGCUAGUCUAAUGAGUACUUUAUUUUUUUAACAUUAGAUUGUAACUUCAAGCACAUUGGGCACUAUCAAUGCUACAUAUCAAUGCUACAUGGAAGUGGGAAAGCAUUUGAUAUUGCACGACACGGAUAAGCUAAGCAGCCUUGGUUACAGGAUGAUGGAUAUUAGACAAUCAGUUAGAUUACUUACUGUGAUCUAAAAAUUUUGCCAUUUUCUUAGAUGUUGUUUUGAUGUGAGCCAGAGCAUUUGAUCUUUGUGCAACAAGCAACUGUUUUGUCUUUUUAAUUUUUCUAAUAAUAUCAUGUUAUUCUUUUAUUUAUUUUUUUUAAAAUAUCAAAUAGUCUACACCACACCGGUACUUUGACACGAAUACAUCAAAACAUAAACAGGAGUAGUACCGGUAUCAUUCGGAUUUGGAUCAGCUGAAGUAACCACUACCCACAAAAUGGUAGCUGCACAUAGGGGUGCUCGCGGUUCGGUUUGGAUCGGUUUUGAGGUAAAAAUUCAUCCGAUCCAAAAAUAAAUUCAUUUGCGGUUUGGUUCGGUUUUGGAUGACAAAUAAAAAAGAUCUGAUCUAAUCCGAUCCAAUAUUAUGCGGUUUAAUUUGGAUCGGUUUUUGGAUAUCCAAAUUUUAAAUUGUAAUUUUUUUUAAUAAAUAUGAAUAUUAUAAAAAACGCUACAAAAUAAUAGUUUGACAUUUUUNNNNNNNNNNNNNNNNNNNNNNNNNNNNNNNNNAAUAGAUUAAAUUAAACUAACAUAUAGUAUUAACAAAAUUUAAAAUGAAAAAAAAAGGUUAAUGCAAUAUAUAUAUUUAUACUAAUAAAAAGAUAAAUAAAUAUUAAAAUAUAUGUAUGCGGUUUGGUUCGAUUUUAAGAAAUCAAUCCGAAAUCCGAUCCGAUCCAGNNNNNNNNNNNNNNNCCAGCGGUUUUCACAAAAGAACAUCCAAACACAUCCAAAAAACUUCGGUUUUUUGCGGUUUUCGGUUUUUUUGGAUCGGUUUUCGGUUUUUAUUUGGAUUGGUUUGGAUUUGAGCACCCCUAGCUGCACACAACAGAUCAGAAACUCCUGAUAAAAUAACUAAUUUUAUAUAGAUUAUAAUCUUGGCCAUUCAUUUCGGAUCGGGGUUAGAAACAGUUACAGCGUUGAUGCAAUAACUGCAUCAAAUCCAAUUCCGUAUCAUACUCCAAGACUGCUGCUCAACACGGAACUAUAAGGACCAAAGUCACCAAACUGGACCACAACGUUACUAUGACUCUGUUUGGUAACACAAAUAAGCUAGCUUAUAGCUUAUUAUAUGAGCUUAUAAGCUUGUUUCAAAAAAUUAGAGGUGUUUGGUAACAAGCUUUUUGUACUAGNNNNNNNNNNNNNNNNNNNNNNNNNNNNNNNNNNNNNNNNNNNNNNNNNNNNNNNNNNNNCAGCUAUCAGCUAGCUUAUAGCUUAUUUUUACCAAACAGACCCUAUAUAUACCAUUUUUGACCUAUUUUCUACUAUGGUAUUAUAUAUGCUGUUUGCCUAAGGUAUUAUCUCCUAUUUUCUACUAUUGCAAUAGUUACUAUAUCUCCAAAUUUGGACCAAACUGGACCACAACGUUACUAUAUAUGCAACGUUACUAUAUAUACCUAUUUUUAUGUUGCUUUUUUGUCACUAAUAUCUCAGCUGCAGCUCUACAAAUCAGUGAAAUAAACUUUUCAUGCAAGGCCGAUUCACCUCCUUAAUGUGAAACCUAUGUGACAUAUUUUGCCAAAUCUCCAAAUUUCUUGAGCCUAACAAACAUAUCUGAUAUAUUUGAUAUGAGUCCUUUAUCCAUUGCAAAAGCUGAUUCCAAGCCAAGCCUUUCCUUACUAGUACCUGUAACUUGCGGUUGUGCUAGAAAUCGCUAUUUCGCAAAUUUGACUUAUACAAUCAAGCUAGGUGACAGCUACUUCAUAGUUUCAACCACUCAAUACCAGAAUCUCACCAAUUAUAAGGAAAUGGAAGAUUUCAACCCAAAUCUAAGUCCAAAUCUAUUGCCACUAGAAAUCAGUUGAACAAAGGAAUAAAGUAUUUGAUUACUUAUGGCAUCACAAGCGGACAUGUUUGCCGAGAAUAGUCACAAGUUUUUAGAAAAAAUUUACGGUCACAAGUGUUCCAGUAAACAAAAAAAAUUCUAGAAAAAUUUUAUAUACCUGAACACUUUUUCCAAAGUGUUCCGGUAACUAAAAAAAAAUAGAAAAUUUUACAUACUUGAACACUUUUUUCCAAAGUGUUCCAGUAACCAAAAAAAAAUUUAGAAAAUUUUUACAUACCUGAACACUUUUUUUCGAAGUGUUCUGGUAACCGACAAACCGGAAAAGUGGAAGAGUUUACCGGUGUACAACAUCCUCCGGAAAAGUCAGAAAAUGACAAAAUAAUAAUGAUAAAAAAUAAUAUAGUAAAAUAAGGGCAGAAUGAGAAUAUUUUAAAAUAUGUAUAGGGGUAAAUAGUUAAAUGUUAGGGUAGAAAAAAAAAUUCUCAUUCAGCAAACUUCACGCAUUUGGGCUGACCUGCACUUUAUUGGAUCAGGUUCUAUGUCCCCCAAUGAUUUCUCUUGUAAUUUCUUUUUCCUUUUAUUAAAUAUUGUUAUUAUGGGAAUAUGGUAGACGAUGAGGGUUUUUGGAAGUGCCCAGACCGGUAUUCCUAAAGAUCACUAUUCUUUUAACUUAGGAAAAAAAAAGUUAAAUAAUUUAUUUUAGAGUAUAAAAGACAAAAAGAAAUAUAAAUUGAAGUGUAAAACAAAUAAAAAGUACUAUAACAAUGUUAUGAUAUAAUUAUAAAAUUAUAGGCUACAAGUAACAAUUUUUAUUUAACUCAACUAUCAAAUACAGUAUAGUCUUAUAGGUGGUGCUGGAAAGGAUAUGUAAAGUGAAUAAAAAAUUGGAGGUCAUGAUAAUACCCCCAAAGUUUAUAGAGAAUAAGAAAGAUCUGAAUAAUUUGUUCUCUUUCCCUUAUUUAAUUUCUUUACCCUAUAUAAUAGCCUAUAUAUCUUGAAAACUACAAACUCAAUAAAAUUAGAAAAUGAAAAAAUAAAUGAAAUUAUUAAGUCCCAGCAUAAUAAAUUAAUGAUGGCUCAUGGAGUAAUAGUAUAGUGGAAGAGAUUACUAGUACCAGAACCCAUUCUUUGUCUCUUCGUCUCUUUCUCGGUGUCGUGUCUCGAACCGAAAACCUCUAAGUUGAAGAACGAAUUCUCAACCAAAUGACCUCUUAGAAAUACUCAUAGAAAAAGUGACAUCAUACGAACGCAUUCACAACUUUUGUUAAUACAUCUCACAAUUUUUGGAUAAUUGCACAUACUUCUUAGACAGUCGGAAUCAUGUUCACAUAUCUUUAAGAAAGCUUUAACUAAUAAUAUGGAUACAAAAAAAAAUGUUAAUAAUAUGGAUACAAAAUAUUGUUUGAAUUAAAUAAGAAAAUCUGUAAAUGAUGAAACAAUGGCUUACCGGUUGGCUUUUCGUCAAUGUCCACCACAAUAAGAAAUAUAAAAAGAAAGAUGAUUACGGUAUAAUUUUUUUUGAGAAUUUUAGCCAUAUUUUUCGGAUUUGUAUAUAACUAAUACAAUAUAAUUUAAUUGUUAUAUAAUGUACAAAUCUCAAACACACUUUACAUCGAUUAAAUAUUUUUUAGCUCUAAGAGAAAUUAUAAAUAUUUAUUCAUAUAACAUGAAUCAUUGUUAAAUAUUCUUUACGUAUAUCAACAUAUUGUGUUUGCCCUUUGGCAACCUUAGUUAGUAAAUCAAAUAAGAA